GAUGAACGCUGGCGGCGUGCCUAAUACAUGCAAGUCGAACGUACGGACGAGAAGCUUGCUUCUCUGAUGUUAGCGGCGGACGGGUGAGUAACACGUGGAUAACCUACCUAUAAGACUGGGAUAACUUCGGGAAACCGGAGCUAAUACCGGAUGAUAUUUUGAACCGCAUGGUUCAAAAGUGAAAGACGGUCUUGCUGUCACUUAUAGAUGGAUCCGCGCUGCAUUAGCUAGUUGGUAAGGUAACGGCUUACCAAGGCAACGAUGCAUAGCCGACCUGAGAGGGUGAUCGGCCACACUGGAACUGAGACACGGUCCAGACUCCUACGGGAGGCAGCAGUAGGGAAUCUUCCGCAAUGGGCGAAAGCCUGACGGAGCAACGCCGCGUGAGUGAUGAAGGUCUUCGGAUCGUAAAACUCUGUUAUUAGGGAAGAACAUAUGUGUAAGUAACUGUGCACAUCUUGACGGUACCUAAUCAGAAAGCCACGGCUAACUACGUG
Molecule: ribosomal RNA, 497 nt
Filed under: uncultured bacterium
Lineage: Bacteria
Description: partial 16S ribosomal RNA
Rfam family: Bacterial small subunit ribosomal RNA
Source: RNAcentral